This 676-nucleotide ribosomal RNA is filed under the name Hirticlavula elegans. RNAcentral's name for it is "partial 28S ribosomal RNA". It matches the Rfam family "Eukaryotic large subunit ribosomal RNA", at positions 138 to 795 of the family's 3401-position model. Lineage: Eukaryota; Fungi; Basidiomycota; Agaricomycetes; Agaricales; Clavariaceae. The record is from RNAcentral.
UCGAAUUGUAGUUUAGAGAAGUGCUAUCCGCGUCGGACUGUNCAAUAAGUCUUCUGGAAAGAAGCAUCAUAGAGGGUGACAAUCCCGUCUUUGGUACAGACUACCGCUGCUUUUGUGAUGCGCUCUCAACGAGUCGAGUUGUUUGGGAAUGCAGCUCUAAAUGGGUGGUAAAUUCCAUCUAAAGCUAAAUAUUGGCGAGAGACCGAUAGCGAACAAGUACCGUGAGGGAAAGAUGAAAAGAACUUUGAAAAGAGAGUUAAACAGUACGUGAAAUUGUUGAAAGGGAAACGCUUGAAGUCAGUCGCAUCNUUCAGAAAUCANNUUGGCCAUUGGUCGAAUGUACUUUCUGCUUANAUGGGUCAGCAUCANUUUCGAUCGUUGGAUAANAUCCNUUGNAAUGUGGCNAUCUUCGGGKUGUGUUAUANACUUUGGUUAUACNACGGNUGGGAUUGANGANCUCNNUGUGCCUUCGGGUUUGGGGCUUCNGCUCACAUUACACACUUUGGAUGCUGGCNUAAUGGCUUUAAUCGACCCGUCUUGAAACACGGACCAAGGAGUCUAACAUGCAUGCNAGUGUUUGGGUGGUUAAACCCAUGCGCGCAAUGAAAGUGAAAAUUGANAACUCUGUCGUGAGUGCAUCGAUGCCCGGUCCAGACCUUCUGUGACGGAUCUGCGG